UUACGUUGUAGAUGCCUAUGGGUUCCAGU
Molecule: small RNA, 29 nt
Filed under: Bombyx mori (domestic silkworm)
Lineage: Eukaryota; Metazoa; Arthropoda; Insecta; Lepidoptera; Bombycidae
Description: ovarian small RNA-36603
Source: RNAcentral